GAUGAACGCUGGCGGCGUGCCUAAUACAUGCAAGUCGAGCGAACAGACGAGGAGCUUGCUCCUUUGACGUUAGCGGCGGACGGGUGAGUAACACGUGGGUAACCUACCUAUAAGACUGGGAUAACUUCGGGAAACCGGAGCUAAUACCGGAUAAUAUUUCGAACCGCAUGGUUCGAUAGUGAAAGAUGGCUUUGCUAUCACUUAUAGAUGGACCUGCGCCGUAUUAGCUAGUUGGUAAGGUAACGGCUUACCAAGGCAACGAUACGUAGCCGACCUGAGAGGGUGAUCGGCCACACUGGAACUGGAACACGGUCCAGACUCCUACGGGAGGCAGCAGUAGGGAAUCUUCCGCAAUGGGCGAAAGCCUGACGGAGCAACGCCGCGUGAGUGAUGAAGGUCUUCGGAUCGUAAAACUCUGUUAUUAGGGAAGAACAAACGUGUAAGUAACUGUGCACGUCUUGACGGUACCUAAUCAGAGAGCCACGGCUAACUACGUG
This 497-nucleotide ribosomal RNA is filed under the name uncultured bacterium. Its description in RNAcentral is "partial 16S ribosomal RNA". It matches the Rfam family "Bacterial small subunit ribosomal RNA", at positions 28 to 507 of the family's 1533-position model. The record is from RNAcentral.